RNAcentral lists this ribosomal RNA (253 nucleotides) under uncultured bacterium. Its description in RNAcentral is "partial 16S ribosomal RNA". It matches the Rfam family "Bacterial small subunit ribosomal RNA", at positions 524 to 776 of the family's 1533-position model. The record is from RNAcentral.
UACGUAGGGUCCGAGCGUUGUCCGGAAUUAUUGGGCGUAAAGAGCUCGUAGGCGGUUUGUUGCGUCGGCUGUGAAAUCCCGAGGCUCAACCUCGGGUCUGCAGUCGAUACGAGCAAACUAGAGUGUUGCAGGGGAGACUGGAAUUCCUGGUGUAGCGGUGAAAUGCGCAGAUAUCAGGAGGAACACCGAUGGCGAAGGCAGGUCUCUGGGCAUUAACUGACGCUGAGGAGCGAAAGCAUGGGGAGCGAACAGG